CAACCUGCCUGUUACCACGGCACAGCCCGUCGAAAGGCGGAUUAAUGCCGUAUGUGGUCUUGAGAGGGCAUCUGAUCAUGACUAAAGGUUCANCGGUAACGGAUGGGGAUGCGUCCNAUUAGCUAGACGGCGGGGUAACGGCCCACCGUGGCUACGAUCGGUAGGGGUUCUGAGAGGAAGGUCCCCCACACUGGAACUGAGACACGGUCCAGACUCCUACGGGAGGCAGCAGUGAGGAAUAUUGGUCAAUGGGCGGAAGCCUGAACCAGCCAAGUAGCGUGAGGGAAGACUGCCCUAUGGGUUGUAAACCUCUUUUGUGCGGGGAUAAAGUGUGGGACGUGUCCCAUAUUGCAGGUACCGCACGAAUAAGGACCGGCUAAUUCCGUGCCAGCAGCCGCGGUAAUACGGAANGUCCGGGCGUUAUCCGGAUUUAUUGGGUUUAAAGGGAGCGCANGNCGNNNUUUAAGCGUGCUGUGAAAUGCCGCGGCUCAACCGUGGCACUGCAGCGCGAACUGGAGGACUUGAGUACGCACGAGGUGGGCGGAAUUCGUGGUGUAGCGGUGAAAUGCUUAGAUAUCACGAAGAACUCCGAUUG
Molecule: ribosomal RNA, 595 nt
Filed under: uncultured Bacteroidota bacterium
Lineage: Bacteria; Pseudomonadati; Bacteroidota
Description: bacterial SSU rRNA
Rfam family: Bacterial small subunit ribosomal RNA
Source: RNAcentral